GAUAACGUUGAAGCUGAACAAGCAUUUGCAGUCAAAUGGCAACAUUUGACGUGGCAUAAUGCGUUGUAAGAAUGUUUUGAUGGAUAUUGGCAAUGAGAGUGAUCAAGUGUCUUAAGGGCAUUUGGUGGAU
RNAcentral lists this ribosomal RNA (130 nucleotides) under Brucella anthropi. RNAcentral's name for it is "Ochrobactrum anthropi partial 23S ribosomal RNA". The record is from RNAcentral. Lineage: Bacteria; Pseudomonadati; Pseudomonadota; Alphaproteobacteria; Hyphomicrobiales; Brucellaceae.